UAAGCGGAGGAAAAGAAACUAACAAAGAUNCCCCUAGUAACUGCGAGUGAAGCGGGAAAAGCUCAAAUUUAAAAUCUGGUGGUCUUUGNNCAUUCGAGUUGUAAUUUAGAGAAGCGUCUUCCGCGCUGGACCGUGCACAAGUCUCCUGGAAUGGAGCGUCAUAGAGGGUGAGAAUCCCGUCUUUGGCACGGACACACCAGGGCUUUUGUGAUGCGCUCUCGAAGAGUCGAGUUGUUUGGGAAUGCAGCUCAAAAUGGGUGGUGAACUCCAUCUAAAGCUAAAUAUUGGCGAGAGACCGAUAGCGAACAAGUACCGUGAGGGAAAGAUGAAAAGCACUUUGGAAAGAGAGUGAAACAGUACGUGAAAUUGUUGAAAGGGAAACGCUUGAAGUCAGUCACGUCGACCGAGACUCAGCCUUGCCUUGGCUUGGUGUACUUCUCGGCUGACGGGUCAGCAUCAAUUUUGCCCCUUGGAUAAUGGCGAGGGAAAUGUGACACCUUUACGGUGUGUUAUAGUCUCUCGUCGCAUGCAAGGGUUGGGAUUGAGGAACUCAGCACGCGCCUUUGGGUGUCGGGGCUUUGCCCACGAUACGUGCUUAGGAUGUUGGCAUAAUGGCUUUAAACGACC
Molecule: ribosomal RNA, 627 nt
Filed under: uncultured Russulaceae
Lineage: Eukaryota; Fungi; Basidiomycota; Agaricomycetes; Russulales; Russulaceae
Description: LSU rRNA
Rfam family: Eukaryotic large subunit ribosomal RNA
Source: RNAcentral